GGUCUUGCGGUGUAUGACACGUCAGAUUGCAAAUCUGAAGUUGCAGUCCGAGGCUGCCAAGGCUU
This 65-nucleotide transfer RNA is filed under the name Cyema atrum (bobtail snipe eel). Its description in RNAcentral is "tRNA-Cys". The record is from RNAcentral. Lineage: Eukaryota; Metazoa; Chordata; Actinopteri; Anguilliformes; Cyematidae.